Molecule: ribosomal RNA, 484 nt
Filed under: uncultured bacterium
Lineage: Bacteria
Description: partial 16S ribosomal RNA
Rfam family: Bacterial small subunit ribosomal RNA
Source: RNAcentral
AUUGAACGCUGGCGGAAUGCUUUACACAUGCAAGUCGAACGGCAGCACGGGGGCAGCCCUGGUGGCGAGUGGCGAACGGGUGAGUAAUACAUCGGAACGUGCCCGGUCGUGGGGGAUAACGUAGCGAAAGUUACGCUAAUACCGCAUACGAUCUGAGGAUGAAAGCGGGGGACCUUCGGGCCUCGCGCGAUCGGAGCGGCCGAUGUCAGAUUAGGUAGUUGGUGGGGUAAAGGCCUACCAAGCCGACGAUCUGUAGCUGGUCUGAGAGGACGACCAGCCACACUGGGACUGCGACACGGCCCAGACUCCUCCGGGAGGCAGCAGUGGGGAAUUUUGGACAAUGGGCGCAAGCCUGAUCCAGCCAUUCCGCGUGCAGGACGAAGGCCUUCGGGUUGUAAACUGCUUUUGUACGGAACGAAAAGGCUCUGGCUAAUACCUGGGGCUCAUGACGGUACCGUAAGAAUAAGCACCGGCUAACUACGUG